GACGAACCGUCCGAACGUUAUUCGGUAUCACUGGGCUUAAAGAGUUCGUAGGCGGCCUGACCGGUGAGGUGUGAAAUCCCUCGGCUCAACCGAGGAACUGCGCCUCAAACCGUCAGGCUUGAGGGAGAUAGAGGUGAGCGGAACAGAUGGUGGAGCGGUGAAAUGCGUUGAUAUCAUCUGGAACACCGGUGGCGAAAGCGGCUCACUGGAUCUUUUCUGACGCUGAGGAACGAAAGCUAGGGUAGCGAGCGGG
RNAcentral lists this ribosomal RNA (253 nucleotides) under uncultured bacterium. Its description in RNAcentral is "partial 16S ribosomal RNA". It matches the Rfam family "Bacterial small subunit ribosomal RNA", at positions 524 to 776 of the family's 1533-position model. The record is from RNAcentral.